Molecule: ribosomal RNA, 252 nt
Filed under: uncultured bacterium
Lineage: Bacteria
Description: partial 16S ribosomal RNA
Rfam family: Bacterial small subunit ribosomal RNA
Source: RNAcentral
UACGGAGGGAGCUAGCGUUGUUCGGAAUUACUGGGCGUAAAGCGUACGUAGGCGGUUAUUCAAGUCAGAGGUGAAAGCCCGGGGCUCAACCCCGGAACGGCCUUUGAAACUAGAUAGCUAGAGUCUUGGAGAGGUUAGUGGAAUUCCGAGUGUAGAGGUGAAAUUCGUAGAUAUUCGGAAGAACACCAGUGGCGAAGGCGACUAACUGGACAAGUACUGACGCUGAGGUACGAAAGCGUGGGGAGCAAACAG